UUAGCAGCGUGACGCGAACGAAGAGAGCGUCUACGCGUUAAAAAAAGUACCAACCCAAGGGAAGAGAGAACAUUCAGUGUUGAACAUUGGUUAGUGGCGGACGGGUGAGUAACGCGUGGGUGACCUACCCAUAAGAGGGGGAUAACAGUUGGAAACGACUGCUAAUACCGCAUAAGCUUUCUGUUUAAGAUGGGAAGUAAAGGAGGCCUCUUGACAAUGCUUCCGCUUAUGGAUGGGCCCGCGUCUGAUUAGCUGGUUGGUGGGGUAAGAGCCUACCAAGGCGACGAUCAGUAGCCGGCCUGAGAGGGUGAACGGCCACACUGGGACUGAGACACGGCCCAGACUCCUACGGGAGGCAGCAGUGGGGAAUAUUGCGCAAUGGGGGAAACCCUGACGCAGCGACGCCGCGUGAGCGAAGAAGGCCUUAGGGUCGUAAAGCUCUGUUUUAAGGGACGAAUGUCGCGGGUAAUAAUACGAUCUGCGAAUGACGGUACCUUAAGAGGAAGCCCCGGCUAACUACGUGCCAGCAGCCGCGGUAAGACGUAGGGGGCGAGCGUUGUCCGGAAUUACUGGGCGUAAAGAGCACGUAGGCGGGACUUUAAGUCAGGUGUGAAAGACCGUGGCUCAACCACGGGGUUGCACUUGAAACUGGAGUUCUUGAGGGCAGGAGAGGAAAGUGGAUUUCCUGGUGUAGCGGUGAAUGCGUAGAAAUCAGGAGGAACACCGGUGGGCGAAGGCGACUUUCUGGACUGACCCUGACGCUGAGGCGGCGAAAGCGGUGGGUAGCAAACAGAUUAGAUACCUGG
RNAcentral lists this ribosomal RNA (806 nucleotides) under uncultured bacterium. RNAcentral describes it as "bacterial SSU rRNA". It matches the Rfam family "Bacterial small subunit ribosomal RNA", at positions 36 to 790 of the family's 1533-position model. The record is from RNAcentral.